Molecule: ribosomal RNA, 331 nt
Filed under: uncultured Shuttleworthella sp.
Lineage: Bacteria; Bacillati; Bacillota; Clostridia; Lachnospirales; Lachnospiraceae
Description: uncultured Shuttleworthia sp. partial 16S ribosomal RNA
Source: RNAcentral
GGAGUCUGGGCCGUGUCUCAGUCCCAAUGUGGCCGUUCACCCUCUCAGGCCGGCUACUGAUCGUCGGUUUGGUGAGCCGUUACCUCACCAACUGCCUAAUCAGACGCGGGGCCAUCUCAUUCCACCGGAGUUUUUCACACUGUGUGAUGCCACACCGUGCGCUUAUGCGGUAUUAACAGCCGUUUCCGACUGGUAUCCCCCGGAAUGAGGCAGGUUCCCCACGCGUUACUCACCCGUCCGCCACUCGCCAGCGCCAGUCUUCACCCCGAAGGGAUCCGUCCGACAAGGCUCGUUCGACUUGCAUGUGUUAAGCACGCCGCCAGCGUUCAUC